RNAcentral lists this ribosomal RNA (952 nucleotides) under Staphylococcus hominis. Its description in RNAcentral is "bacterial SSU rRNA". It matches the Rfam family "Bacterial small subunit ribosomal RNA", at positions 137 to 1076 of the family's 1533-position model. The record is from RNAcentral. Lineage: Bacteria; Bacillati; Bacillota; Bacilli; Caryophanales; Staphylococcaceae.
ACUGGGAUAACUUCGGGAAACCGGAGCUAAUACCGGAUAAUAUUUCGAACCGCAUGGUUCGAUAGUGAAAGAUGGCUUUGCUGUCACUUAUAGAUGGACCUGCGCCGUAUUAGCUAGUUGGUAAGGUAACGGCUUACCAAGGCAACGAUACGUAGCCGACCUGAGAGGGUGAUCGGCCACACUGGAACUGAGACACGGUCCAGACUCCUACGGGAGGCAGCAGUAGGGAAUCUUCCGCAAUGGGCGAAAGCCUGACGGAGCAACGCCGCGUGAGUGAUGAAGGUCUUCGGAUCGUAAAACUCUGUUAUUAGGGAAGAACAAACGUGUAAGUAACUGUGCACGUCUUGACGGUACCUAAUCAGAAAGCCACGGCUAACUACGUGCCAGCAGCCGCGGUAAUACGUAGGUGGCAAGCGUUAUCCGGAAUUAUUGGGCGUAAAGCGCGCGUAGGCGGUUUUUUAAGUCUGAUGUGAAAGCCCACGGCUCAACCGUGGAGGGUCAUUGGAUACUGGAAAACUUGAGUGCAGAAGAGGAAAGUGGAAUUCCAUGUGUAGCGGUGAAAUGCGCAGAGAUAUGGAGGAACACCAGUGGCGAAGGCGACUUUCUGGUCUGUAACUGACGCUGAUGUGCGAAAGCGUGGGGAUCAAACAGGAUUAGAUACCCUGGUAGUCCACGCCGUAAACGAUGAGUGCUAAGUGUUACGGGGUUUCCGCCCCUUAGUGCUGCAGCUAACGCAUUAAGCACUCCGCCUGGGGAGUACGACCGCAAGGUUGAAACUCAAAGGAAUUGACGGGACCCGCACAAGCGGUGGAGCAUGUGGUUUAAUUCGAAGCAACGCGAAGAUCUUACCAAUCUUGACAUCCUUUGACCCUUCUAGAGAUAGAAGUUUCCCCUUCGGGGGACAAAGUGACAGGUGGUGCAUGGUUGUCGUCAGCUCGUGUCGUGAGAUGUU